GUGGUCGGGACGUUUAUUGGGCCUAAAGCAUCCGUAGCCGGUUCUACAAGUCUUCCGUUAAAUCCACCUGCUCAACAGAUGGGCUGCGGAAGAUACUAUAGAGCUAGGAGGCGGGAGAGGCAAGCGGUACUCGAUGGGUAGGGGUAAAAUCCGUUGAUCCAUUGAAGACCACCAGUGGCGAAGGCGGCUUGCCAGAACGCGCUCGACGGUGAGGGAUGAAAGCUGG
This 226-nucleotide ribosomal RNA is filed under the name uncultured bacterium. RNAcentral describes it as "partial 16S ribosomal RNA". It matches the Rfam family "Archaeal small subunit ribosomal RNA", at positions 488 to 714 of the family's 1478-position model. The record is from RNAcentral.